Molecule: long non-coding RNA, 17522 nt
Filed under: Coffea arabica (coffee)
Lineage: Eukaryota; Viridiplantae; Streptophyta; Magnoliopsida; Gentianales; Rubiaceae
Description: long non-coding RNA (CARA_LNC000055)
Source: RNAcentral
GAACAUCUUAAAAAUCAACUUGUUACCUUAUAUUUGCGCAAGAACGAAAUUAUUAGCAACGGUACAUACACAAUUAGCCUCUUUGUUUGAAUGUGUUAGCAAAUGUUCCAUUGGAUGUGCAAUGCUAGAUGUACAUGGAAGCAUUCGUCAUUUUUCUGUCACUGAUAAUGCCAGUCUGAAUGGACAACAUUAAAGCUAAUCAAGAAACAGUUGUUGAAGAAAAUUCAAGAAGCAAUUUGCUAUGCUUUGGGACUCCGUGUUCUUAUUGCCAUAAAAUUAUAUCAUGCCAUAAAAUUAUAUCAGUCUCCUUGAAGUUCAAAUAUGUUUGUUGAGGAACUAGAUGCAAACCUUCACCGAUGGUUGUUUAUUAUCUUUCACAAGUUUGAGGAGUUUGUACAUCGGAAUUACCUUGCUUUUCUGUUCUGUGAGCUGAAUUACUGUAUUGUUACCUUGCAUACAAGCAGUGACAGCGAACAAGAAGGCAAUGAUGGUGCUCAAACAGCAGGCUCAUGUUGUUUCCCACCGUUGCUGAAGAAGGAGAGCUCAGGAGGUACAAGCAGUGACCGCGAACAGAAGGCAAUGAUGGUGCUCAACAUCAGCUUUCUCCCCAAGAACUCUGUUUUACCUCCACCAAUUUAUUAAAAUACAAGGGAAUUGGUGCAAGUUUUUAUCAAAGUUUGCUUGAGUCAUGUAAUUGGCCAGAAAACAGGUGUUUUUCUGCACUUUCAUGUGUUUUUGAACGUUUGUCCUAUGCUAUAUAGCUUAGUUUUUGUUCUUUAAGAUUUUACAUUUACUCAACAUGUCAUUUAAUUGUGAAAAAAGUUGGUUUUUUCAAUUUCCUUGUACUGGUUACUAGACCAUACCUUUUCUUUGCGUUCCUUAGCUGUCAUAACUGAAUUCAUACUGAAAUGUAAUCUUUGAGAAGUUUGUACAUCACAAUUACCUUGUUUUUUUGUUCUGUGAGCUGAAUUACUGUAUUGUUACCUUGUCUAGCAUGACCGACAAGAAGGCAAUAAUGGUGCUCAAACAUUAGUUUCAUGUUGAUUCCAUCCUUGCUGAAGAAGGAGAAACCAGAAGGUAUGAUGGUUCUCAAACAUAGCUUCUCUCCCAAAGAACUCUUUAACCUCCGCCCAUUUAUUAAAAUACAAGGAACUAGUGCAAGUUUUAUCAAAGUAUGCUUGAGUCAUGCAAUUUGCCAGAAAACAGGGUGUUUUUUUUGUACUUUCAUGUACUUUGAACGUUUGUCCUGUCUAUAUAGUUAGUUUUUAAUCUUUAAGAUUGUACAUUUACUAGGUGCUUAACAUGUCAUUUGAUUGUGAAAGAAGCUGGUUUAUUCCAUUUUCUUGUACUGGUUACUAGACCAUCCUUUUCUUUGCAUUCCUUAGCUGUCAUAACUGAAUUCAUACUGAAGUGUAACAUUAUGAUGGUAUUUUCCAGAGUCUUAGAAGCAGACCUCAUGUUGUUUCGACAAAGACACCACCCUUUGCUGUUGCAUUUCUUACAAGAGUGCCAGGGGGCAGAAGUUAUUUUCACUGACUAGACAGGUUUGAAGAUGAAGGUAGUAAUCAAUGAUGAGAAUCUUGCACAUCAGAGAGCGCUAGCUUUGAUGGAGGCUUCACCAAUAGGUGGUUCUCCCCAGGUUUCCCAAAUAUAAGUUUUUACUCAUCUCCUGCUUGGGCUGCAGAAAGAAAGGCAAUAAUUUAGCUUGUGCAUCUUCAGGGCAGUUUUGAUAGUUUUUUAUCUGCAUUCUUGAUAUGUAUUUCAUAAAUCAAUUACCAAACUUUUUUUCCCCUUUGCAUAGCAUGCUGAUCGCUGAAACAAAUUGGAAAGAGACCAGAAUUUUGGGUUUUCUCUGCCUCUCUGAACCUCUGAAAGAUUUGAACAUCUUAAAUAUCUUUAACUUCAAAUUGUUACAUUCUGUUUGGCCAAGGUCGAAAUUAUUAGCAUGGUUCAUACCCAAUUGCCUCUUCGUUUGAAUGUGCUACAAAAGUUUCAUUUGAUUUGCGAUGCUAGAUGUACAUGGACAUAUUCUUCAUUUUUCUGUCACUGAUAUUGCCAGUCUCAAUGGAUAACAUUAAAGCUAAUCGAGAAACGAUUUUCAAAGAAAAUUCUUGACACAAUUUGCUGUUCUUUGGGACUCUGUGUUCUUGUUGCCAUAAAAUUACCAGUCUAAUUGAACUUCAAAUAUGUAUGUGGAGGAACUAGAGUGCUGUGAACAUUCACCUCUUAUAAUUUAUACGGCAUGCUUCAUAUCAAUGACAAUAAUGUCUUUUUCUUUUCAAUGAAAAAUGUUGGAUAAUUGUUCAUCAUCUUUCACAAGUUUGGAAAGUUUAUACGUCACAAUUGCCUUGAUUUUCUGUUCAAUGAGCUGGAUUACUGUAUUGUAACCUUGCAGAUGAGCAAUGCAAGGAAUGAUGGGCUCAAACAUCAGCUUCGUGUUGUUUUCCAUUGCUGCUGAAGUGAAGAGCUCAGGAGGUAUGUGGUGCACAAAAGUGAUAAUCCAGCACUUCUCUCCCCGAGAACUCUAAGUUUGCAUUCUAAUAAGCUUAAGUCAUGUAAUUGGCAUGAAAACAGGGUGUUUUGCUGCACUUUUAUUUGUUGUUGAAUGCUUACCCUGUGCCACAUCGCUUAUCUUUUGCUCUUGAAGAUUUUUAUGUUUAUUUGGUGCUUAACAUGUGUUGUGAUUGUGAAAGAAUCUGGUUUUCAAUUUUCUUGCACUAGUUACCAGUCCACACCUUUUCUUUGCUUUCGUAGUUUGUCAUGAUUGAAGCUGUUCUGAAAUGUAAUAUUAAGAUGUUUAUUCCGAAGCAGACCUCAUGUUAUUGGACAAAUGACACCACCGAUUGCCGUUGCAUUUCUUACUAGAAUGCCAAGGGACAGAAGUUAUUUGCAUUGAGAGUUUGAAGAUGAAGGCAGUAGUUAUCAAUGAUGUUAAUUUAGCUCAUUAGAUAGCAUUAGCUUUGAUGGAUGUUUCGCAAAUAGUUGGUUCUCCCCAGGUUCCUCAAACAUAAGUUUUUCGGUUUCUCCUGGUCAGAAUGCAGAAAGGAAGGUAAUGAUUUAGCUUGUGUGUCUUGAGGGCAGUUUUAAUAGUUUCUGAUCUACUUUCUUGAUAUGUAUUUAGUAAAUCUAUUACCAAAACUUUUUUUCUUUUUGUUGAUUUCUGAACUGAAAAUGGCUAGUAGCAGGCUUGUAGAGUGUGAUAUGGAUGAAGAAGAAAGAGAGGGGAGCAUCAUCCGAGCAUGGAAGCUGAUGCUGGAGACCUAUCAAGAUGCGCAGCUGAUUAUAGUCAAACUGGACUGAUGGAUGUUUGUGACAGUAGACACAAUAAAUUGGAUAAACAAUCAAUUUGGAGCAGUGAGAAAUGUAGAUGCAAGAAGUCUUGAAUUGCACAAAGAUCCAAGGAAGAGCAGGGAAAACGUUCUUUUCAGUAGAUAUGUGCAUAUUUUGUGAAGAAUUAACACUUUUUAAAAUAUGGCAUUUCAUACUUUUGGUGUAUCAGAAUGUGACAAGUCCUGAUAGUACGUUUUCUUCAUCUUUUAUAGGGAGUAAAAGUAUGUCUAGAGACCAUGCUUGCAAGAUUUCCUACCCUUUUUUAGUUAGACAUUUGAUAGAGAGAACUUUUCCUCUUCAAAUAAUCAUUUUUAUUAUCUAUGAUAGGUGAAAUUGCUUAUCAAUUUUACCUGAUACUGCGAAAUUGCUUUGGGUUCAUAAACAAAUCAUAACAGUAAAAUCUGAAGGCUUUUAUAUAAAACCUAAAUGAUGAUCUUAUUGUUAAAGGUUUUAUAUAAAAAUAGGUACUUAAUGUCAAGAGCCUAAUCUUCAAGACAAAAAAUUUAUUAAAGCCGUUAAAUUAAGUAUUUGUACUAAGAUUUUUAUUUUCCUCUUUCUUUCAAGUAAGGUGGGGAGAGAUGAGCAAUCCAUAGCAUUCUUCAAUCUUCGAUUUAGAGAAUUGGAGUCUUUUCUUUAAGGGUGCGUUUGAUAAAAUUGAAAUUUAAAAUUUGAAAUCUGAAGUCUGAAAUCUAAAUCCAUUAACUACUGAAUUGUUAAGUACUAAAUUUGAUACAUUUAAAUGUAUAUCACAUUAAGUGAUAAGUGAAUAACUUAUCACUUAUUUUUUAGAACAAGUUUUGCUUUGGAAAUUCAUUGCCACUUAAUUAAUCCAUGUGUUUUAGUUUUAGUUAUCGAACGCAUCUGAAUAUAAUAAGCUAUGAAUCCAUUAAAUUUAAGUGUUAAAUUGGAUUAUCAAAUAGAAUCCAAGUUUAAUAGAAUUUCAACUAAAAAUCAAUAGGUUCGUUGAGCUAACAUAAUUUGCUAAUAAUAAUAAUAAUAAUAAUAAUACUUUCAAAUAUUAUUCAGAGAAAUGAGACAUGAGCCUUUAGUCUUCAUUCUCCAGUUGAACUUAGACGUUUUAGACUUUUAGUGGAGCACUUCUUUCAGGUAAAAAUUAAUUUCGCUAAAGCAUUUAAAUAAUUAUAGAAAACUAUUGUUCUCUUGAAUUUGGAUCAUAAAAUAUUUAGAGGUCAAACAUAUUGAUUUCGAUGCUGUUGAACCUCUGAGUAAUUAUCGAAGAACCUUUUGCAAUGAUAUCCUGCCAAGAGAUUCACAAUCCAUGCUAUAUUGCAUUGUUGAAAAUCAUACCAAAAAACCAGUCCUACAAAAAUCACAAUACUGUAGUACAUAUAAUCAGUUAACUUCUGGUCUUCGUGGAGUACAACUGUUUGACCCAUUUCUUUAGCCCAAAAUAAAUUUAUAAGUAGCGAAAGAAACGACCAUAUGAUCAAAACAGUAGGGCAAAAUACGAUUUGCCCUCAUGUAAUUUAGCGCUUUUUCGCAUAAUCUCUCAUAUAGUUUCAUAGUUAUGCAUACUCUUUUCAUGAUUUGGAUGAAAAUGUCAAAAUGACAGAAUUUGUAUUCUAUAAUAGAGUCAAUUAAAAUGUCAACAGUAUUCCUAUGUAAAGUUGAAAAUUAUUUAUUAACCAUGAAAAUUUAUGUAUAUAAUUUAAAAAUCAUAAAGGAAUUAUAUGGUAAAACAUUAAAUCAUAAAGGGGUUACAUGAUAAAUCAUAAAAUCAUACGAGGUUAAAGUAUCAUACAUAUUAUAUUUAUAUAUUUUGGCCAUUUCAACCAGUUUAGUUUUGAAACAAGAGUAAUUUUGACAUUUUCAUGGAUUCCAUUACAAAUGAUCAUUCCAGUUAUUUUGAUACUUUAAUUUAAACAAUGAGAUGAUAAUAUAUAGUUUUUACAACUAUAGAGAGAUUUUGUAAAAAAUUGCUAAACUACAGGGGGUAAAGUAUAUUUUGUCCAAAACAGUAAUACUAGAUUCAAACUAAUGAAAUUCUCUAUGGAUUAAAAUUGCAAAAACACUUUUCCGUUGGCAAGCCGGGACUUUCUUAUUUACAAAGGAUUCAAUUCCGCAAUUGCUUAACUCCAGCUGAAAUCGUGUUGCACCAUGAACUUUCAAAUCAAACCGGAGAACGAUGCCGCCUACGCCAAACCAUUAAAACUAUGUUGAACGGAGUUUGACACGAGGACUAUUGCAGGUGGCAACUCUCCAAAAAGGUUGACCGUCAUUAUUUGGUUAAAAAAAAUAUUAGGAUCAAAUGACAUCUUGUAAAUAAAUUUUAACACCAUAUAUGAGGUCCACAAAAUUUUAUUCUAUAUUUAUAAGUUGCUGAAAAUAAGUUACAUUCUAAAUAAAGUGAAUUACAUCUUGUGCAAAUGAAACAAAAUCGGCCCAAAUGAUUUUUCUGACAAUCGUUUGAAUCCUUGGUCCAUGGCAAACUUAUUACAAUACAUAGAGAGGCCUUCUCUUAUAGAUUAUAUAUCACUGCACACUAUUACACUAAUAAUUGAGUCUGACUUGUGAGGGUGGCAACUGUGGUCCAUAAUAGAAUUUUCAUAAGACAUACUUGGUUUCUAAAUUAUCCUUCACAUUUUGUUGAAUAAAUUAUUUCAUCCUUUACUUUUAAAAUGAUAACUUUAUGUUUCAUACAAAAUCAAAUCAGUAAAAUUUGAUUCCAAUCUAGAUUUUUUACCAUAUUUUAUCCUAAAUCUAUCACGUGACCCAUAUGCAAUCAUUAUUUAUGUAUGGAAAGGUUGAUCAGUUGCACGACGAAAAAUUACCCACUAAUGUAUGAGGAUAGUCUCUGAUGCCACAUCAUACAUUUGCACUUAUUAGUGUAAAAAAUUUUAACAUUAAUAGUGUAUACAAUAUUAAUCCUAUAUAUUUAAUAAUUCAAAGAAUUAUUAGAUUAGAAAAUUCAAUGUGCAUUCAUAUACAUAGAUCAAGAAAAUAAAAUAAAAAGUGCAAGGACAAUUGUAUAUCUUUCGUAUUGUAGGCUCUAUUUUCAAAUUCGGACCGGAUCGAUCGGUCUGACCGAUCAAAUAAAAAAUUGAUUGUUCGAUUCGAGUUAACUUUAAAAAUUGAAAGAUUAAAAAAAUCAAUCAAAUCUGGUCAAACCGGGUCAACCUGAUUUGACCGAAAAAAUAAAGAACCGGACUUGUCAUCACCAUGGUUUUCGUGGGCAGCCUUUUUUGACUUUUUUCCGGAGAUAACGGGAGGGAAACAUAUUCGGAGAUUUUGAGCCAUGAUGAAAGAAUCUUUUUUUUUUAUAUUUUUUUGAAAGGUCAAAAUAUCUUUAAUAUACUUUAAUAUUAUAUUUUGAUCCCUAAGUUGUUAAAAAUUAUUAAUAUAUCUCAAAUAUUUCAUAUUUUAUAAACAUUAUCUUAAAGUUUGGUGUUAUUUUUCAAUUAAGUCUAUAAUUUUAAUUCUAAACUUGUUAUUGCUCAUUAAAUAAUAUAAAUUGCUAAUUAAUUGUUCUAAUUUCUUUAUAUUUUCUUGUUAAAUAUAUUUGAAACAUCAAAUAUAUAUGAAUACAUCUUUAUUAAUAUUAAUAUGCUAUUAGUAUUUUACAUAUAAUAUUUUAAUUUUUAAAUAAUUUUUAUUUAUGACGUCAUCCGGUUCAACCCCGAUCGAACCCGGUUGAAUCCAUUGACCCCUGAGCUCGACCGAGUCGAUUCCCGGUCCGAUUCUGAAAACAUAGAUUGUAGGUUUCGAGCAAAUAUGUCUUGAUCGGGUUAAGGUUGUGGUUUUUAUAUAGAUUUGAAUCAACUAUCGUAAUAUAGAGGGCAAAGGUUAUGGUUAGAUUAGUAGAUGACCUUUUCUUCUUUUCAAGUGGUCUACUUGAAUUUGUUUAGUAAGAUUGAAUCAGAUAGAGGAUGAACUACGUUAAACAUAGAAUAUGGUAUUAAUAAGGAGUCAGUCGGUGACGUUGAAUUAGAGUAAACUAAAAUUAAGAAAAGACUUAGCUUAAAAGUAUCAAUGGACUUUGUUUUGGCAAACCUUAGGAGAGAUAAAUGUAGUUGAUCGAACAUGAUUAGAAUAAUAUACCAUCCAAAUCUAUUUUCAGUUGAGGAACCACAUAUGUUACAUUUAUGCAUUCAAAUCUACCAAUUGUGAUGCUUUAACAGCACCUUCUUGAUUAUGUAAAUAGUUUUCUAAUUUUUUUUAUGCUUUGAGGGAUAAUUUGUAAAAGUUAGUUUUUUUAAGAGUAAAAUGUCCCUUUUUUUCUUUUUUUUUGAAAUAAAUUCUAGCCAUAUAUAGACAUGUGAGUUUUUUUUAGUAAUAUAGCGAUUUAGAUUUCUUUCAUUAGAAUGCACUGACAAUGAUUUUCAAUGAUUUUCUUAUAAUCCCAUUCAUGAAUAGACUUCUAAUAACUCUUUGGGCUAUUUACACAAUACAAACAUGGAGUUAUUCUUGCAGUAUUGCUCAUAAGAGGGACAAAGUCAAUAUGACUCUCUACUUUGUAAGUUAAUUUGUUUGGACUUCAAGUUAAUAUUUUAAGUAAAGGAUAAAAGUAGCGUGAUAAGUAUAUGUCUGUAUUUGAGGCUUACAAUGUUUUAGCAAAUGCUUGGUAAUCCCCUUACUAAAAUCAAAUUCGAUGAUAAAUUACUAAUUGAUUUUCUAGAUAAAGUCACCGUAUCCUUUAGUUAAGCAUUAAGAGAUGAGGCAAACCUAUAGAUGGAGAAGACCUUAGAAUAGUUGGUGAGGUGGUAAGGAGCUUUUCCUAAUUUUCCCUUAAUAAGAUUUUUAUUCCUCUCUUUUCUCAAAAUAAACUUUUUAGCUUUAGUAGCCUGGCUAUUUGAAACAUUUGCAAGUGAAGUUCCAUGAAAACUGCGUUAGAGUUUGCUUAUUCGAGAUAAGGCAAGUGAAAAUGCCAAGCAACUUCCAGUGCAAAAGCAUUCAACUAUGCCAACGAAGCAUUGCGCUUCUACACGGAUUGAGGGCUCACAAUUGGUCACACCAUUAUCCUUUCUUGUCAUUAGAACAUAAUACUAGAAAUAUGCAUAUGAAAUAUUUCGCUUAUUAUGGCAUUUGUACACCUUUAAUGCAACGAAUGUACGAUUUAAACAUUAGUUUAUGUUGUAAUGAAUAUGUAAGUAAGAGUUACAUUAUGGCUAAUCUUUGCCAUAUAGUAUCUCAAGCAAUCAGUCCUAAUAAUUGUUAAGGCACUUUUUACCUAUUCAAUGAGAUUGAAACAAUGCAUCGUUCAAGUUAUUCUUUGUCAAAAGUCGUUAGUCAAGCACUUUCGCAAAAAAACAAAGGAGGAGUAAGUGUUCAUGCCCCGUUCUUGAUAAGAUGGAAGCAAAUGCAUCAUUCAAGUUAUUCUUGGCCAAAAUUCAUUCAUCAUUUUCAAAAGGCUUCAUGAAAGUGAGCUCAACAUUGUUGGUUGUGUGUAAGUUUAAAAGUACUUCAUAUCUCAAGAUACCAUUGAUUCUUAUUUUCUCUUUUCAAAAAUAAAAGUUCAAGUAAUUUGACAUCACAAGUAGGGAUGGCAAUGCACCCACGGGUACCCACCCCGCGGGGGGCUCUCGGGGGGGGGGAAUUUUUUCCCCCGCUUUCCCCCCGCUUAGAAACGGGGCGGGGGGCGGGGGAGUAUACCCCGCCCCAUCCCCCGCCCCGCCACCCGCAAAAAUAUAUAUAUAAUUAUAUAUAAUAUGUAAGUUAAUUAGUUAUAAACUUAUGAUAAUGAUAUUACUAGUUAGAUGUAUUAUAUAAUGUAUAUUAGUUUAUGUAAUAUAAUGGAUAUUAUCAAUUAUAUAAUUAUACAUGUCUACUAAUAGAAUUUAUUAAUUAGUUAUACUAAAUUUACUAAUACAUUUAUACUAAAUUUCUAAUUACACUUAAUAGAAUAACACUUUUUUCUCAAAAAAAAGCACAAACACAAUAAUGAAUUAGUGAUUGUAUUUGUACUAAAAGUGAAAACUUGACUAUUUUAAUUAUAUUUAUUUCAUCAUAUUGGAUUGUAUUCAAAUAACUUCUGUUUGAUUGUUUUUAUGAGUUUCAAUUGUAAAAUUACAAUGAAUAAUAAUUUGGUGAUGUGUUGGCGGGGCGGGGGCGGGGCGGGAGGCGGGGGACGGGGCGGGGGUCGGGGGAAUUAAUAGGCGACGGGGCGGGGGACGGGGGAGGGGUCCCCCGCCCCAUCCCCGCCCCGUUGCCAUCCCUAAUCACAAGCCCGAUUACUGAGACAUAAAGGCAAGUAUAAGUGUUUUACAUGUUUUUCAAAUUAAGAAUAUGUUAUACAUCCCCCAAAAAAUCUUAAAAGAAAAAAAAACUUCCUUUCUUGCUUGAAAAAUUGCAUUGUAACGCGUUCUAUUGUUGGGCCAAUUAAGCCUCAUGAACGAGAUACGGAAGUCAUUGUCUACGAGUAAAUUUUCAAAUUCGGCUGCCUUUUGAAGCUAGUUCGCAAAACGUAAAAGUUUUUAAACAAAGAACGCAUUUACUAUAUCCAAUGUUUAAAAAUUUAGAAAAAAAAAUAUAGUUUUAGUCCUUAUUGUUUAGUCUCUGUAUAGUUUUAGAUCUUAAAGUUUCGGCAAAAGUAAAUCUAGUCGUUAAUGUAUAGUAUAUGUACAGUUUUAGCUCUCCGAGGAUUGGUUUGGCGGUUGAGGUUGCUGAAGAUGGAGACUUAGGUCCCUGGUUCGAAUCUUGCUGCCAGCAAGUUGUGGAGGGUAGGGAAUAGUCUGUGGAGUUCACUCCCUGCGGGACACCCCUAAAACAAAAAAAGUAUAGUAUAUGUACAGUUUUAGACUUUAAAGUUUUGGCAAGAGCAAUCCGAUUUUCAAUGUCACCAAUUUGAAGCAUUUUAAGGACCAUUGGUAAAUUUUUCUAAAUAUUAAUCAAAUCAGACACGUGCAAUCACAUGUUUGUUAAAAAAAACUUCUUAAAAGAGAAUCAAAAUAAUGAGCAAUCUUUAACAAUAAGAAUAACUUGCAUGCUAACACAUUAGUAACAAAUUACUUAAGAAAAAAAGAAAGAAAAUUUGUUAAUCUAUACUAAAAAUUAGGAAUUACAUUUUUUUACUUGGAGACACUAGAGAUAGUUAGUGAACAUGAAUUCUAGAUCAAUGAACUUGGUAUAUUGAAGUUUGAGUUUAGAAAUUUUCCUUCUUUUUAUUGGUUAAAUAGUUAACAGAUGAGUUAUUAGUUCUUAAUUUUAUUGUUUAAAGUUAGCUACUAUUUUUCUUCUUUAUUUUGAAAUUUAAUUUAAUAGGCACAUGCAUGAGUAAAUUUUAUUAGUAAUUGAGAUAAAAUUCUUCAAAUGUCCUAAAUCAACUUUAAAUUGAAUAUAAGGUGGACCAGAUUUGUUCUUACUAAAACUUUUAUGGACUAAAACUACACAUGUACUAAAUAUUGAGGAUCAUGACUGUUUUUGUUAAAACUUUAAGGACUAAAACUGCAUAUGGACUAAACAUUAAGAAUUAAAACUACAUUUUCUUCAAAUAUGGAAUAUUUAUGCCUACAAAGAAUGAAAAGUGGCAUUCAACAAAUGCAACUUUUUAAUAAUUAGGAUUGGUUCAAUGGUUAAGAGAGGACUCUUAAAGUUUUUCUCGCUGUCAAAUUUAGGAUUUGAAUCCUGUGCCGAAUAAUUGAGAGUAGGAAGUAUGUGGGUAUGAGUGGGAGGAUUAAAAAAAAACUGCAACUUUUGAAGUUGCAAAAGGCGCAUUUGAAUCCUUUCAGUUUUUUUACUAACAAAUGACGUGAAUUGCUAUAUGCUUUUCUCCAGUGUGAUUGCGAUUAAAGUUUCUUGUCCCUCUCUGGUGGAACUGACACACAAUUUUUCAAUAAGAAAAAGAUGAAGGGCCCGGCAACAACAGUGAUGUGAAAAUGCCAAGCAACUCCCAUUGCAAAAGCAUCCAAAUUCGGAUAAUUCAACAUUGGCAAUAAUUCAUACAGUAAUUCAGAUAUUUUCAGUAACAGGCCCCGGCAUUGAAUCAUCCAAUUUCCUACUGAAUUGAAGCAUUUGUCACAUAAUUGUCAUUAUUUAUUUCUUGGACCAAAGCAGGGUUGUUAAUGUGAGCAUAAAUGUCUCAUGUGAUAACGGUGGUGGUACAAUUUAAGCAUGGGUUUAUGUUACAGUUAAUAUACGAACACAAAGGUCAAUGUGUAAUCCUAAAAAAUGGGUAAUUGAUUAUGAAUUGUCUAAUUAUAAGGACAUAGAAUAAAAUUUUCUCUUAAUUUCUUAAAUUGGAGAAUAAAAAAAGCCGGUAACUCGUAGUUGACUUAUUAUACAAAUAUAUAUAUAUAUGUUGUUUCUUCAGCUUUAUAAAUUUUUGGUACAAAAUUUUUUUUAUUUUCUUAAGAAUAAAAAUUUUGAAAAAUAUAAUUUGGAAUAAAAGAGAGAAGACAGGGGAAAAAAUAUAUCAACAUAGUAGAGAGAGUUAUAUCUGUCUUUUAGGAAGUCAAGUGUCACAAAAUAAAAAUUAGGGAGUAAAGUGACAAACAGGGCAUAACUUACCGGGAUAAAUGUAAACAGGGCACUACACUGAUGGAGGCCCCCUGAUGUGAACAGCUGAUGGCCGCCUCCAUUGACCCAUCUUAGUAUUGUCACGGCCGACAAAAUUUGGUCUAAGCUUUCAUACAGCUAUUCUUUAUCAAAUCAUCAUGCAACAUAUAUUUAUUUGUAAACCAAACUUGUAACAAAUAUUUGGAGAAAAUAAAGAAGCUAUUGGUGCCCUCUUCUUGCUUCAAGAUCAGGUAACCUCCUCUUCUAUUCAUAAUUUCUUCAUAGACACUAUUAUGGAUACAUUGGCAUGGGGUGUAUGAUGGAAUUCUAUUUUUGUCACAUGAAUUUUCAAAAUUCCUUAAUGAAUUAAAUUUAAAAUUUCACAUGUUUUAGUUGUUUCUUGGAUAUUUGAUUGUGCUUUUUCUUAAAUACUUGAUAGCUUAUUCUUGGUCUUCUACCUGAUUAUUUGAAUCAUUAUAGGGCUUCAAUAAUUUUUCAAAAUUAUCCCUCUUCAAUAAUAUCUAACAAUCCUGGACGACAAGUAGGAUGAGAGAUUAUGAUGUAUGUAUUUCUAGGAAAGUUCGUUAAUUUGCAUUUAGAUCAAUGUUUAAACAAAUUGGAUAACUGAUAAUUUAUUCCUGUUGAAUCAAUUUAUGCUGCACUCAGUACUGAUCUUAAUCACUUACAACUAUGAUCAGAUUAUCACCAAUUAAUGGCUUGGCAUAAUCACUCGUAAGGCAGCAUACGACAUGAAAUAAUUGAUUUUUUUCCAACAAGUAUUGGUGGCAAACUAUGAUCUGAUUUGCAACAAAUUUAUUAUUUUAGUUACCUACUGACUCAUAAAAACAAAUACACUAACAUUAAUACUUUUAGAUGGAUAAGAAAUCACACGAAGAUUCAAAUCAGUUUCACAUUCAACAAAAACCAUGACAAUUAGUUGGUGUUAUUACACAAUUAAGGCCCCCACCAGUGACUAAAUCAGAUUGCGCUAAAAUUAUUUUGAAGUGACCCCACACAAUUUGAUUAAUCACAAUUAUACUAAUCUGAAUCUCACACAUCAACCCACUGGAAUCGUUAACUCAUCUCUCUCUUAUUCUGACUGGCUUCUAUUCUGAUUUCUACCAUUUGUUGCUGAAACAUUCCUUCCAUCUCUGAUAUCAGAAAACCUUUCGAUCCUAGUUCCAAUUCCAAGCAAGAAACAAUGGCUAACGCUGCUAUCAGUGCUGCUGUUAAGGUCGUCUUGGGGACACUUAUUUCCAUUGCUGCGGACCGCAUUGGUAUGGUUCGGGGAGUCGAAGCGGAAUUGGAGAGACUAAGCAAAACUGCUGCAAUGAUCCAAGGUUUCUUGGCUGAUGCUGACGAGAAAAUGCAUACCCAAGGGGUGCGAGAGUGGCUCAAACAGCUAGAGGAUGAGGUUUUUAAAGCUGAUACCGUGCUGGACGAGCUCUACUACGACAAUCUUCGUCGGGAGGUGAAGUACCGAAAUCAACCAAUGAAGAAGAAGGUAUACUUCAUCUUCUCCUCCUUUAAUGCAAUUGGUUUUAGUUCCAGCUUGGCUUCAAAGAUCCGGCACAUCAACACCAGCCUAGAAAGGAUCAACCAACGAGCCCGUGACUUGGGAUUGGACAUUAAGUACCAAAUUGAAGCUGCACCCCUGCUGAUGCCGCUGGUGCCAGACAGACCGACUCUAUUGUCGUUCCGAACGUUGUAGGAAGAUCCGGCGACGAGUCAAAGAUUGUGGACAUGUUAUCGAGCCCAUCUGAAAAUGUUCUUUCUGUUAUUCCCAUAACAGGCCCGGGAGGUUUGGGAAAGACAACUCUGGCGAAAUCAGUCUACAAUAAUCCAAAAAUAGAUGGGCACUUUGGCCAAAAAAUUUGGGUUUGUGUGGCUAAAGAACACAUUAAGAUAAUGGACCUGUUCAAGCUCAUUUUAGUACAAUUGACAGGAGAAGAAGUUAAAGUGGAUGACAGGGAUGUUAUUGUUAAAAGAAUCGGAGAAAAGCUCAAGGGACAAAAUAUUUCCUUGUUCUUGAUGAUGUGUGGGAUCAUGAACAAGGCUUGUGGAAUGAUUAUUUCAACACUUUGAUGGGACUCAACGAAACCAAAGGAAGCUGGUGUCUUGUCACCACUCGUCUGGUACCAGUGGCAAAUGCUGUGUCUAGACCUCUGAAGAUGAACGGUGGUCCUUAUUUCUUAGGAAAGCUAUCAGGUGAUGAGUGCUGGUCCAUCAUAAAAGGAAAGGUGAUGAGUGCAGGGGAAGAAGUACCAAAAGAAUUGGAAGCAUUGAAGAAGCAAAUUUUAGGGAGAUGCGAUGGCCUACCCUUGGCGGCAAGUUUGAUUGGUGGCUUGUUGCUUACCAACAGAAGAGAGAAGUGGCACUCCAUUGUGCAGGAGAGUCUUUUGAAUGAAUAUCAAAGCCAAAUUAAUCAAAUACUUAAGGUGAGCUUUGAUCAUUUGUCAUCUCCAUCAGUUAAGAAAUGUUUUGCAUAUUGCUCGAUUUUUCCCCAGGACACUAAAUUAGGAGAAGAUGAACUAAUUCAGCACUGGGUUGCAGAAGGUUUUGUUCAACCAGAUCGCCAAAACCAAAGAUUGAUGGAGGAAAUAGUGGGUGAUUAUUUGAGGAUUUUGUUACAAAAUUCCUUAUUGGAAAAAGUAGAAGAGUCGUGGGGAACAUAUUAUAAAAUGCAUGAUCUCGUGCAUGAUUUUGCAAAAUCAGUUCUCAAUCCUAAAAGCAGCAGCCAGGAUCGCUACCUUGCAUUACACUCAUAUGAAGAAAUGGCAGAAAAUGUCAGAAGGAAUAAAGCGGCAUCAAUCCGCUCGUUAUUUCUCCAUUUAGGGGUGGCAUAUCUACUGACAUGCUUUUAAGAUUCAAGUGCUUGAAUGUUCUCAAAUUGUCUGGAGAUGAUGUCAAGUUUCUACCGAGCUCCAUUGGCAAACUACUACAUUUGCGGUUGCUCGACAUUUCAUCUUCUAGAAUCACAAGUUUGCCAGAAUCUCUUUGCAAGCUAUAUAAUCUGCAGACACUAACGAUGAGAAAUGGUGCACUUAAAGGAGGUUUUCCAAAACGGAUGAGCGAUUUGAUUAGCUUGCGGCAUCUAAACUACUGUUAUCAUCGUGCAGAAUUGAAAAUGCCGGUGCAGAUGGGACUAUUGACUUGUCUUCAAACUCUGGAGUUUUUUAAUGUAAGUCAAGAGAAGGGUUGUGGCAUCGAAGAGCUUGGGACCUUGAAAUAUCUGAAAGGAUCGUUGGAGAUAAGAAAUCUUGGACUAGUGAAGGGCAAAGAAGCAGCUAAACAAGCAAAAUUGUUUGAAAAGCCAGAUCUGUCCGACUUGGUGUUUGAAUGGAGAGUGGGGAUCGGGAAAGCGAUAACCGUGAGGAGGAUGUGUUGGAAGGUCUCCAACCUCACCCAAAGUUGCAAGGGUUGGAAAUUGAUUCUUUUAUGGGUAAUAAAUUUCCACAAUGGCUUAUCAAUUUGUCAAAAUUGGAGGCAUUGCGGAUAGGAGACUGCAAGAGAUGCAGUGAACUCCCCUCAUUAGGACAACUGCCAUCCCUCAAACGUCUCUAUUUGAUAGGAUUGGACAACAUUCGAUUUAUUGGAGAUGAAUUCUACGGUAUUACUGCUAAUGAGGAGGAGGAGGAGGAGGGCAGAUCACGAGCAUCAGGGAGCGGCAGUAGAAGGCGAAAAUUCUUUCCUGCCCUUGAAAGCCUCUGGGUCUACGGUAUGGGGAAUUUGGCAGAGUGGAAAGGUGCAGACCAAGUGAGGUCAACAGUAGGUGAAGCAGAAGCAGAUGUCUUUCCCGUGCUGAGGAAUUUUUACAUUCGAGAUUGCCCACAGCUGACCGCUCUUGCAUGCUCGGGUAAAAGUCUAUACGUGGAGAAGUGCCAUAAUCUAACAAGUAUAAAAAGGGGUUACGGCACUGCUUCUGUUGAGAAGUUACGGAUCGAAUCUUGCGACAAUCUUAGGGAGCUGCCAGAUCUGGAUCUGUUUGGAUCGAGUUUGCAGCGAUUGACCAUCUCAUUUUGCCCAAGAUUAAUUAGUCUGGGAGUAAAUGGACAGAAAUGCCCCCUACCAUGCCUUGAGGAAUUGAGUAUUCAUAAUUGCGAAGGGUUGACCACUAUAUCCGACAAAAUGUUCCAGUCUCUGCGGUCCCUGACGGUGAAGCGUUGCCCCAAUCUGGUAUCAUUUUCGCUUAAUUUGCAGGAGACGCCUUCUCUCGAGAAAUUCGUCUUAGAGAACUGUCCCAAAUUGAUCCCUCAUAGUUUCAAAGGAUUUGCUUUUGCCACCAGCUUAAGAGAAUUGAGCAUCAACAGUCCCUUCUCCUCAGUUGAUGAUUUUGAUUGGUCUGGUUUAAGAUCAGCAUCAACACUCCGUGAGCUUCAAUUAGAAGGGCUGCCUCACACGGAGUCCCUGCCACACCAGCUUCAAUACUUGACUACCCUCACUUCACUAAGUCUGGCCAACUUUGGAGGAAUAAAAGUGCUACCGGAUUGGAUUGGAAACCUUGUGUCCCUUGAAACCCUAUCGCUAUGGGAUUGCGUCAAGCUUCAGUCUUUACCACCCGAGGCUGCCAUGAGACGACUCACAAAGUUAACAAGUGUUGAAGUUGAUGAGUGUCCUCUGUUAAGACAACGAUACACUCCCCAAAGAGGCAUCUACUUGGAGGAGGAGAUUUCAAGUGAUUCGGUGAGAUUUUCCUGUCUAAAGUUCACACUCAUAUAUAUGUAUAUAAAUUUUUUGUAUCUGCAUCUCAUUGACGUAUAUUUGCUCUUCAGUCUCUUGUACUGUUUUUCUCCAUCUCUUUUCUGCAAAGUUAUUCUCUGUAAUUAAUUCUCUUCUUUUGGGCAGACCUUGGUUUCUUUUCAAAGAUUAGUUUUAACAAAGCCUGGUUUUGAGCAAAUUGGAAGAGACCAAAAUUCUGGAUUUUCUCUGCAUCUCCCCACUGAAAGAUUUUGAACAUCUUAAAAACUCAACCUGUCACCUUCUAUUUGGCCAAGCAUGAAAUUAUUAGCAACGGUGCAUACACAACUAGAGCCUCUCUGUUUGAAUGUGUUAGCAAAUGUUUCAUUGGAUGUGCAAUGCUAGAUGUACAUGGAAGCAUUCGUCAUUUUUUUGUCAUUGAUAUUGCCAGUCUGAAUGGACAACAUUAAAGCUAAUCAAGAAACAGUUGUGAAGAAAAUUCAAGAAGCAAUUUGCUAUGCUUUGGGACUCUGUGUUCUUAUUUCCUUGAAGUUCAAAUAUGUUUGUUGAUGAACUGGAGUGCUGCAAACCUUCACCCCUCACAAUUGGUGAUCAUGCUUCAUAAGAAUGACAAUAAUAUGGGAUGGUUUUUUUGUUCUGUGAGCUGAAUUACUAUAUUGUUACCUUGUCUAGCAGUGACCGAACAAGAAGGCAAUAAUGGUGCUCAAACAUUAGUUUCAUGUUGAUUCCCAUCCUUGCUGAAGAAGGAGAAACCAGAAGGUAUGAUGGUUCUCAAACAUCAGCUUCUCUCCCCAAGAACUCUUUUUAACCUCCGCCCAAUUUAUUAAAAAUACAAGGAAACUAGUGCAAGUUUUUAUCAAAGUAUGCUUGAGUCAUGCAAUUUGCCAGAAAACAGGGUGUUUUUUUUGUACUUUUGAACAUUUGUCCUGUGCUAUAUAGCUUAGUUUUUAAUCUUUAAGAUUGUACAUUUACUAGGUGCUUAACAUGUCAUUUGAUUGUGAAAGAAGCUGGUUUAUUCCAUUUUCUUGUACUGGUUACUAGAC